This 61-nucleotide microRNA precursor is filed under the name Caenorhabditis remanei. RNAcentral describes it as "microRNA crm-mir-58c precursor". Its record names the gene crm-mir-58c. Lineage: Eukaryota; Metazoa; Nematoda; Chromadorea; Rhabditida; Rhabditidae. The record is from miRBase by way of RNAcentral.
UCUGGCUUAUUGAUUGGUCUCCUACCACUUUUUGGAUAUGAGAUCAUUCGAUGAGCCCAGA